GACGAACGCUGGCGGCGUGCUUAACACAUGCAAGUCGAACGGAAAGGCCCUGCUUUUGUGGGGUGCUCGAGUGGCGAACGGGUGAGUAACACGUGAGUAACCUGCCCUUGACUUUGGGAUAACUUCAGGAAACUGGGGCUAAUACCGGAUAGGAGCUCCUGCUGCAUGGUGGGGGUUGGAAAGUUUCGGCGGUUGGGGCUGGACUCGCGGCUUAUCGGCUUGUUUGUGGGGUAGUGGCUUACCAAGGCUUUGACGGGUAGCCGGCCUGAGAGGGUGACCGGCGACAUUGGGACUGAGAUACGCACCAGAAUCCUACGGGAGGCAGCAGUGGAGAAUAUUGCACAAUGGGCCGGAGCGUGAUGCAGCAACGCCGCGUGCGGAAUGACGGCUUUUGGGUUGUAAACCGAUUUCGCCUGUGACGAGGCGUGAGUGACGGUAAUGGGUAAAGAAGCACCGGCUAACUACGUG
This 468-nucleotide ribosomal RNA is filed under the name uncultured bacterium. Its description in RNAcentral is "partial 16S ribosomal RNA". It matches the Rfam family "Bacterial small subunit ribosomal RNA", at positions 28 to 507 of the family's 1533-position model. The record is from RNAcentral.